CCUACGGGUGGCAGCAGUGGGGGAUAUUGCACAAUGGGGGGAACCCUGAUCCAGCGACGCCGCGUGGGUGAAGAAGCGCCUCGGCGCGUAAAGCCCUGUCAGCAGGGAAGAAAAUGACGGUACCUGAAGAUGAAGCACCGGCUAACUACGUGCCAGCAGCCGCGGGAAUACGUAGGGGGCAAGCGUUAUCCGGAUUUACUGGGUGUAAAGGGGGCGCAGUCGGCGAUGCAAGCCAGGAGUGAAAGCCCGGGGCCCAACCCUGGGACUGCGCUUGAAACUGCGUUGCUGGAGUGCAGGAGGGGCAGGCGGAAUUCCGGGUGUAGCGGUGAAAUGCGUAGAUAUAAGGAGGAACACCGGUGGCGAAGGCGGCCUGCUGGACUGCAACUGACGUUGAGGCGCGAAAGCGUGGGGAGCAAACAGGAUUAGAUACCCGAGUAGUC
RNAcentral lists this ribosomal RNA (440 nucleotides) under uncultured bacterium. RNAcentral describes it as "partial 16S ribosomal RNA". It matches the Rfam family "Bacterial small subunit ribosomal RNA", at positions 338 to 795 of the family's 1533-position model. The record is from RNAcentral.